RNAcentral lists this ribosomal RNA (496 nucleotides) under uncultured bacterium. RNAcentral describes it as "partial 16S ribosomal RNA". It matches the Rfam family "Bacterial small subunit ribosomal RNA", at positions 29 to 507 of the family's 1533-position model. The record is from RNAcentral.
AUGAACGCUGGCGGCGUGCCUAAUACAUGCAAGCCGAGCGAACGGACGAGAAGCUUGCUUCUCUGAUGUUAGCGGCGGACGGGUGAGUAACACGUGGAUAACCUACCUAUAAGACUGGGAUAACUUCGGGAAACCGGAGCUAAUACCGGAUGAUAUUUUGAACCGCAUGGUUCAAAAGUGAAAGACGGUCUUGCUGUCACUUAUAGAUGGAUCCGCGCUGCAUUAGCUAGUUGGUAAGGUAACGGCUUACCAAGGCAACGAUGCAUAGCCGACCUGAGAGGGUGAUCGGCCACACUGGAACUGAGACACGGUCCAGACUCCUACGGGAGGCAGCAGUAGGGAAUCUUCCGCAAUGGGCGAAAGCCUGACGGAGCAACGCCGCGUGAGUGAUGAAGGUCUUCGGAUCGUAAAACUCUGUUAUUAGGGAAGAACAUAUGUGUAAGUAACUGUGCACAUCUUGACGGUACCUAAUCAGAAAGCCACGGCUAACUACGUG